RNAcentral lists this ribosomal RNA (422 nucleotides) under uncultured bacterium. RNAcentral describes it as "bacterial SSU rRNA". It matches the Rfam family "Bacterial small subunit ribosomal RNA", at positions 358 to 772 of the family's 1533-position model. The record is from RNAcentral.
GGAAUUUUCGGCAAUGGGGGCAACCCUGACCGAGCAAUGCCGCGUGAAUUAUGAAGGUCUUCGGAUCGUAAGAUUCUGUUAUCAGGAAAGAAAGGUAUGACUAGGAAAUGAGUUAUAUUUGACGGUACCUGAUCAGAAAGCCCCGGCUAACUAUGUGCCAGCAGCCGCGGUAAUACAUAGGGGGCGAUCGUUAUCCGGAAUUAUUGGGCGUAAAGAGUGCGUAGGCGGUCUAUUAAGUUUGACGUGAAAUCCCACAGCUUAACUGUGGAGGGUCGUUGAAAACUGGUAGACUUGAGUACAGUAGAGGUAAGUGGAAUUCCAAGUGGAGCGGUGGAAUGCGUAGAUAUUUGGAGGAACACCAGUGGCGAAGGCGGCUUACUGGGCUGGAACUGACGCUGAGGCACGAAAGCGUGGGGAGCGAA